GACGAACGCUGGCGGCGUGCUUAACACAUGCAAGUCGAACGGAAAGGCCCUGCUUUUGUGGGGUGCUCGAGUGGCGAACGGGUGAGUAACACGUGAGUAACCUGCCCUUGACUUUGGGAUAACUUCAGGGAACUGGGGCUAAUACCGGAUAGGAGCUCCUGCUGCAUGGUGGGGGUUGGAAAGUUUCGGCGGUUGUGGAUGGACUCGCGGCUUAUCAGCUUGAUGGUGGAGUAGUUGCUUACCAAGGCUUUGACGGGUAGCCGGCCUGAGAGGGUGACCGGCCACAAUGGGACUGAGAUACGGCGCAGACUCCUACGGGAGGCAGCAGGGGGGAAUAUUGCACAAUGGGCGGAAGCCUGAUGCAGCGACGCCGCGUGCGUGAUGACGGCCUUCGGGUUGUAAACCGCUUUCUCCUGUAACGAAGCGUGAGUGACGGUAAUGAGUAAAGAAGCACCGGCUAACUACGUG
This 468-nucleotide ribosomal RNA is filed under the name uncultured bacterium. RNAcentral describes it as "partial 16S ribosomal RNA". It matches the Rfam family "Bacterial small subunit ribosomal RNA", at positions 28 to 507 of the family's 1533-position model. The record is from RNAcentral.